Molecule: long non-coding RNA, 567 nt
Organism: Lolium perenne
Lineage: Eukaryota; Viridiplantae; Streptophyta; Magnoliopsida; Poales; Poaceae
Source: RefSeq, a predicted model, not a curated record
CCGCCGAGCCAGCUGAGAAGAUGCUAAGUACUGUAUGUAUGAGCAGGAAGUAUAUUGCUACUGAAACGGUGGAGCUAAAGGAAGGCCUUCUGGAACAAUUUUUUUCAUGAAAUGGAACCCUUUAUAGGCAAACAAGGACUGCCAGUUUGCCUAAACAGAGGUGUUGUUGAAUUAAUUGCUGACCAUGUAGUUUGUGAAGAAGGGAAGCCUUUCACCAGAAGCAGCACACACUCUGGUAUGUAUAAAACAUCAUGCAUUAUUACCUGAAUAUUUUUAAAGUGAUAGACGAUAGUGGUAUCCUGUGAUCAAGUUAUGAGAAGCCGAAAGUCUUACUCUUACACUUGAUUAGGGUGUUCAAGACAUCUGGUACCAUUUUUGCUCGUAAGUGUAGAACUGUGGAAGUAUACAUGUAUGUUUUGUGGUAAGGGCAUCUUCAUCAGCCCGAAGCAAAUGGAUCAAGGGUUCCUUUGAUUCAUAGGAUAACGAAAGUAUAGAAAUAAAAAAGCAUGGGAUUGGGAUGUCAUAUCUCUUUGAAUCAUAUCAGAAAAUGAAGCGUGUUUGAUUGUA